AUCAAGUUGUUUGUUUUCAGACCUCACUAGCUGCUGAAAAAUCAGGAGAGUCUUAGAGCCAAGUGCUAUGUGCUCAGCUGAAGAUGGAUGUGGCAAUUAGAGGUAAAACGCUGCUCCAGUGAGACACAGGAUGCUCUCGGGUGGAGCAGGCCUUUGUGCUGCUCUCUGGAGAUGCUCUUCACAGGGACAGAGGCAGGGAGAGCCUCGGGGUGUGUCCAAAAGCAAUGACUUCUCCAGGAUUUGCUCCAGGAAGGAGUCGAAGUAGCUGUUGACCGUUUCGAAGCCGUCCCGGAUGGUGUCGAUGCCCCAGUCGGAGUAGGAUGACUCUGCCUGUGGGUCCUGGUGGCCGGUGCUCUCCCGUGCUGCCCCCUCGGAGCACUGCCCCGGCCCCAGGCACAGGCACAGCAGCGCUGCCCGGAGCAGCAGCCUCAUGCUGCAGUC
Manacus vitellinus (golden-collared manakin) is the source of this 441-nucleotide long non-coding RNA. RefSeq lists it as uncharacterized. The record is from RefSeq and is a predicted model, not a curated record. The transcript is spliced from 3 exons. Lineage: Eukaryota; Metazoa; Chordata; Aves; Passeriformes; Pipridae.